Molecule: ribosomal RNA, 554 nt
Filed under: uncultured euryarchaeote
Lineage: Archaea; Methanobacteriati; Methanobacteriota
Description: bacterial SSU rRNA
Rfam family: Archaeal small subunit ribosomal RNA
Source: RNAcentral
AUGGGGUGCAGCAGGGGCGAAAACUUUACAAUGCACGAAAGUGUGAUAAGGGAACCCCGAGUGUUGGUGCCUAGCAUCAACUGUCCAACUGUCUAAAAAACAGUUAUUAGCAAGAGCCGGGUAAGACCGGUGCCAGCCGCCGCGGUAACACCGGCGGCUCGAGUGGUGACCGCUAUUAUUGGGUCUAAAAGGUUCGUAGCCGGCUUAAUAAGUUCUUUGGGAAAUCUGGCGGCUUAACCGUCAGGCUGCCGAAGGAUACUGUUAGGCUUGAGACCGGGAGGGGCUAGAGGUACUUCAGGGGUAGGGGUGAAAUCCUGUGAUCCCUGUGAGACCACCAGUGGCGAAGGCGUCUAGCUAGAACGGAUCUGACGGUGAUGAACGAAAGCUAGGGGCACGAACCGGAUUAGAUACCCGGGUAGUCCUAGCCGUAAACGAUGCGAGCUAGGUGUCACGGUAGCUGCGAGCUACUGUGGUGCCGUAGGGUAGCCAUGAAGCUCGCCACCUGGGAAGUACGGCCGCAAGGCUGAAACUUAAAGGAAUUGGCGGGGGAGCAC